UGGUAUUGCAGUACCUCCAGGAACGGUG
RNAcentral lists this non-coding RNA (28 nucleotides) under Cricetulus griseus (Chinese hamster). The record is from RNAcentral. RNAcentral also lists the same sequence under 1 other name. Lineage: Eukaryota; Metazoa; Chordata; Mammalia; Rodentia; Cricetidae.